Molecule: ribosomal RNA, 329 nt
Filed under: Clostridioides difficile
Lineage: Bacteria; Bacillati; Bacillota; Clostridia; Peptostreptococcales; Peptostreptococcaceae
Description: partial 23S ribosomal RNA
Rfam family: Bacterial large subunit ribosomal RNA
Source: RNAcentral
AAGUUAAGUGGUAAAGGAUGUGGGAUUGCACAGACAACCAGGAUGUUGGCUUAGAAGCAGCCACUCAUUCAAAGAGUGCGUAAUAGCUCACUGGUCGAGUGAUCCUGCGCCGAAGAUUUCCGGGGCUAAAACUUACUACCGAAGCUACGGCAUCAGUAAUGAUGGGUAGGGGAGCUUCCCAUACGGGUUGAAGCAUGACCGUAAGGACAUGUGGACAGUAUGGGAGUGAGAAUGUUGGCAUGAGUAGCGAGAUGUGGGUGAGAAUCCCACAGGCCGUAAACCCAAGGUUUCCAGGGGAAGGUUCGUCCGCCCUGGGUUAGUCGGGACCU